RNAcentral lists this ribosomal RNA (429 nucleotides) under Chloroflexota bacterium. RNAcentral's name for it is "Chloroflexi bacterium partial 16S ribosomal RNA". It matches the Rfam family "Bacterial small subunit ribosomal RNA", at positions 355 to 776 of the family's 1533-position model. The record is from RNAcentral. Lineage: Bacteria; Bacillati; Chloroflexota. RNAcentral also lists the same sequence under 1 other name.
UAGGGAAUCUUCGGCAAUGGACGAAAGUCUGACCGAGCAACGCCGCGUGAGUGAAGAAGGUUUUCGGAUCGUAAAACUCUGUUGUUAGAGAAGAACAAGGACGUUAGUAACUGAACGUCCCCUGACGGUAUCUAACCAGAAAGCCACGGCUAACUACGUGCCAGCAGCCGCGGUAAUACGUAGGUGGCAAGCGUUGUCCGGAUUUAUUGGGCGUAAAGCGAGCGCAGGCGGUUUCUUAAGUCUGAUGUGAAAGCCCCCGGCUCAACCGGGGAGGGUCAUUGGAAACUGGGAGACUUGAGUGCAGAAGAGGAGAGAGGAAUUCCAUGUGUAGCGGUGAAAUGCGUAGAUAUAUGGAGGAACACCAGUGGCGAAGGCGGCUCUCUGGUCUGUAACUGACGCUGAGGCUCGAAAGCGUGGGGAGCAAACAGG